This 478-nucleotide ribosomal RNA is filed under the name uncultured bacterium. Its description in RNAcentral is "bacterial SSU rRNA". It matches the Rfam family "Bacterial small subunit ribosomal RNA", at positions 29 to 533 of the family's 1533-position model. The record is from RNAcentral.
AACGAACGCUGGCGGCGUGGAUAAGACAUGCAAGUCGAACGAAGCAAUGGAUUUCGGUUUAUUGUUUAGUGGCGAACGGGUGAGUAACACGUGAGUAACCUGCCUCUAAGUUAGGGAUAGCCCCGGGAAACUGGGAUUAAUACCUGAUGGACUCGAAAGAGUAAAGGAGAAAUCCGCUUAGAGAGGGGCUCGCGUCCUAUUAGUUAGUUGGUGAGGUAAUGGCUCACCAAGGCGAUGACGGGUAGCCGGUCUGAGAGGAUGUCCGGCCACACUGGAACUGAGACACGGUCCAGACACCUACGGGUGGCAGCAGUCGAGAAUCAUUCACAAUGGACGAAAGUCUGAUGGUGCGACGCCGCGUGGGGGAGGAAGGUCUUCGGAUUGUAAACCCCUGUCAUGUGGGAGCAAGAUAGAAAUAUGUACCACAAGAGGAAGAGCCGGCUAACUCUGUGCCAGCAGCCGCGGUAAUACAGAGGGC